Molecule: transfer RNA, 72 nt
Filed under: Geranium maderense
Lineage: Eukaryota; Viridiplantae; Streptophyta; Magnoliopsida; Geraniales; Geraniaceae
Also listed under: 2 other names
Description: tRNA-Gln
Rfam family: tRNA
About the family: Transfer RNA (tRNA) molecules are approximately 80 nucleotides in length. Their secondary structure includes four short double-helical elements and three loops (D, anti-codon, and T loops).
Source: RNAcentral
UGGAGUAUAGCCAAGUGGUAAGGCACCGGUUUUUGAUAUCGGCAUGCAAAGGUUCGAACCCUUUUACUCCAG